CCUCACCUGACUGGCCAGCCAGAGCUUGGGCUUCAGUGCUGAGACUCUGCAGCUUCAGUGGCCAGCGAGGACAGACGGUGGAACCCUGAAGAAGAGACGACGCACCGGGAUGGGAGGAGAGAGGGCACGUGGCUUCGACUGUUGGUGGGCCUCAAGAUGGCCAUGUUGCUGUUCAAAGGAAGGAAGGACCCGGGGACUUCGCAGGGCAUCAUCCCUGGCAGGCAGAAAGAGGUCCCAGUUCCAAAGUGAGAGAAUCUAGAACAAGGUCGCAGAGCAUGGCAGAUGCAAAAUAUCCCAUCGAAGAGCCCCACGUGCCCUGGGGCCUGCGGCUCUGCUCUGGGAGUGCUCUGCCCCCCUCAGUGGCAGACACUGUAACCCUCCAAGACUAGAGAAGAGGCUGAGCUCAUUUACUGGGUGUUCCGGACAUGCCCUACCUGAGUGUGUGCGGAGGUGGCCGCAGCUAGAAGCAGUGCUGGGAGAGACCUCCCCUUCCCGAGACGACCCCGCGUGGCCUGGGCCCGGCCGCCCGCCGGACUCACCCGUGUGGCUGCGCUUGUGCACCAUGAGCACGUUGGGUCCAAUGCAGACCAUGCCG
Molecule: long non-coding RNA, 595 nt
Organism: Dama dama (fallow deer)
Lineage: Eukaryota; Metazoa; Chordata; Mammalia; Artiodactyla; Cervidae
Exons: 5
Source: RefSeq, a predicted model, not a curated record